CUCGUAGGUUGCCAACUAAGUCAGACGUGAAAUCCCUCGGCUUAACCGGGGAACUGCGUCUGAUACUGGAUGGCUUGAGUUUGGGAGAGGGACGCGGAAUUCCAGGUGUAGCGGUGAAAUGCGUAGAUAUCUGGAGGAACACCGGUGGCGAAGGCGGCGUCCUGGCCAACACUGACACUGGGAGCGAAAGCCAGGGGAGCAAACG
RNAcentral lists this ribosomal RNA (205 nucleotides) under uncultured bacterium. RNAcentral describes it as "partial 16S ribosomal RNA". It matches the Rfam family "Bacterial small subunit ribosomal RNA", at positions 568 to 774 of the family's 1533-position model. The record is from RNAcentral.